Pongo abelii (Sumatran orangutan) is the source of this 148-nucleotide unclassified non-coding RNA. It matches the Rfam family "Metazoan signal recognition particle RNA". From Rfam's summary of the family: The signal recognition particle (SRP) is a universally conserved ribonucleoprotein. It is involved in the co-translational targeting of proteins to membranes. The record is from Ensembl. Lineage: Eukaryota; Metazoa; Chordata; Mammalia; Primates; Hominidae.
GCCAGGUGUGGUGACGCACACCUGUAAUCCCAGCUACUCAGGAGGCUGAGGCAGGAGAAUUGCUUGAACCUGGGAGGUGGAGGUUGCAGUGAGCCGAGAUCACGCCAUUGCACUCCAGCCCGGGCAACAGAGCGAGACCCUGUCUCCA